Molecule: unclassified non-coding RNA, 320 nt
Filed under: uncultured fungus
Lineage: Eukaryota; Fungi
Description: partial contains 5.8S ribosomal RNA and internal transcribed spacer 2
Rfam family: 5.8S ribosomal RNA (bases 1-133)
Source: RNAcentral
UGGUUCUGGCAUCGAUGAAGAACGCAGCGAAAUGCGAUAAGUAAUGUGAAUUGCAGAAUUCAGUGAAUCAUCGAAUCUUUGAACGCACAUUGCGCCCGCCAGUAUUCUGGCGGGCAUGCCUGUUCGAGCGUCAUUUCAACCCUCAAGCCUGGCUUGGUGUUGGGACAUUGCGGCUUGCCGCAAGUCCUGAAAAACAGUGGCGGGCUCGCUAUAACUCCGAGCGUAGUAACUUAUCUCGUUCUGGAAGAGUGGCGGGUGCCGGCCGUUAAACCCCCUAUUUUUACAAGGUUGACCUCGGAUCAGGUAGGAAUACCCGCUGA